RNAcentral lists this ribosomal RNA (433 nucleotides) under uncultured bacterium. RNAcentral's name for it is "partial 16S ribosomal RNA". It matches the Rfam family "Bacterial small subunit ribosomal RNA", at positions 29 to 507 of the family's 1533-position model. The record is from RNAcentral.
AACGAACGCUGGCGGCAUGCCUAACACAUGCAAGUCGAACGAUGCCUCCGGGCAUAGUGGCGCACGGGUGCGUAACGCGUGGGAAUCUGCCCUUGGGUUCGGAAUAACUCGCCGAAAGGCGAGCUAAUACCGGAUGAAGACGUAAGUCCAAAGAUUUAUCGCCCAAGGAUGAGCCCGCGUAGGAUUAGCUAGUUGGUGGGGUAAAGGCCCGCCAAGGCGACGAUCCUUAGCUGGUCUGAGAAGAUGAUCAGCCACACUGGGACUGAGACACGGCCCAGACUCCUACGGGAGGCAGCAGUGGGGAAUAUUGGACAAUGGGCGAAAGCCUGAUCCAGCAAUGCCGCGUGAGUGAUGAAGGCCUUAGGGUUGUAAAGCUCUUUUACCCGGGAUGAUAAUGACAGUACCGGGAGAAUAAGCUCCGGCUAACUCCGUG